RNAcentral lists this ribosomal RNA (377 nucleotides) under uncultured bacterium. Its description in RNAcentral is "bacterial SSU rRNA". It matches the Rfam family "Bacterial small subunit ribosomal RNA", at positions 523 to 898 of the family's 1533-position model. The record is from RNAcentral.
AUACGAAGGGUCCAAGCGUUAAUCGGAAUCACUGGGCUUAAAGGGUGCGUAGGCGGAUUGGUAAGUGCUCUGUGAAAUCCCACGGUUCAACCGUGGAACUGCUUGGCAUACUACCUGUCUUGAGGUCGGCAGAGGUGGCCGGAACUCUAGGUGUAGCGGUGAAAUGCGUAGAUAUCUAGAGGAACGCCAAAGGAGAAGUCAGGCCACUGGGCCGAUCCUGACGCUGAGGCACGAAAGCGUGGGUAGCGAACGGGAUUAGAUACCCCGGUAGUCCACGCCCUAAACGAUGUGCACUAGAUUGUGGCGGCUCUGACGUCGUCACAGUCGAAGUUAAAACGAUAAGUGCACCGCCUGGGGAGUACGGUCGCAAGGCUAAA